Molecule: unclassified non-coding RNA, 4353 nt
Filed under: Haliotis rubra (blacklip abalone)
Lineage: Eukaryota; Metazoa; Mollusca; Gastropoda; Lepetellida; Haliotidae
Description: nEDD8-conjugating enzyme UBE2F-like, transcript variant X1
Source: RNAcentral
GUUCCGGUAGAAAAAUAUGUUUGUGUUCUGACAUUAUCGUCGACUUCAUAACGCCAUAUAUUCGUGUUUAUGAAGAAGCAUGAUUACUUUGUCUAAAAAACUGAAGCAGCAGAGUCAGGCUAAGAAAGAUGCAGCUGAAGCCGAGGUCCCUAGGAGGGUCUCUGUCCGAGACAAACUACUAGUCAAAGAGGUGCAAGAAAUGGAAGAAAAUCUACCAAAGACAUGUCGUGCACAGUUUGAUGACAUCAAUAAAAUACACAAGUUCUUUCUGAUCAUUUGCCCAGAUGAAGGCUUUUGGCAGGGUGGAAAGUUCAAGUUUCAUAUAGAUGUGCCUGAGGACUACAAUAUAGUGCCUCCUCAGGUUAUCUGCUGUACAAAAAUAUGGCAUCCGAAUAUCACAGAGAAUGGCGAAGUAUGCCUCAGUCUCUUGCGACAGAAUUCCUAUGAUAGUAUGGGUUGGGCACCUACAAGACACUUGAAGGAUGUAGUGUGGGGAUUGAAUUCAUUAUUUUCAGACUUACUAAACUUUGAUGACCCAUUGAAUGUAGAAGCUGCUGAACAUUAUGCUAGAGAUAGGGAAGGAUUCAAGGCCAAAGUUCGAGACUACAUAUCCCAGCAUGCAAAAAGAUAAUGACAGACUGUGUAGGUUGUGUCCCAGACUUGACCCGCUUCCAGAUACUUUAUACUUGCACACAAAUACAACACUGAUAGAAGUGGUUGUAAUCAUGGCAACUAUAGAUCUCCAUAGAAAAUAGUAACUUAAUAAGUUAAUGUUGCCAUUUGUAAUGAAGCAUGGCUCUUUGUGGAAUCCGGAAGUGAACAGUGAAGAACAUCUGCUCUUUGAAAUUGACAAGCUGAUGGGCUGGCAGCAUUUCGUGUGUGACCUUGGGAUACAGGUGUAUGUGUAUGAGAUACCGUGACAUACACUGCAUGAACAGGCAGUGUAUAUAAAGCCUGUCUCAGUUACAGUGUGGAUUUGUUACCUAUGUUAUAUUCAUGUGGAAGUGAUCACAUGGUGGAAACCUACCUUAACUCGAUUGUGAUGACACUGUUUGGAAUUUGAGGACUUGUAUAGUUGGUGGCAUUAAGCAUUAAUUUCAUAAGAAUGGAAAAGCUGUAGCUUAUCUGAGUGAAUGGAAGAAACUGGAUCCCCAUCAUGACCAGAGGAUGUUCUUCCUCAUCACUAUGCCUGCCAACCAUGGUCAUCUAAAUAUAGCUUUUGCAAACUGUGUGUCACCCUUACUUUGUUUGAUACCUUUGUCUCUUGUCACCAAGAAAUUACUCACUUACACAGUGCAGAAUAUCAUCACACACCUUUGACAUCUUCAUGGCAUGUUUACAUUAUGGGUAGUUAAGGUUCUGGUUAAACAUGGAUUUGUAAAGCCACCUUUACCUUUAUGAUGUCCCUUAGGUUAAGAGCACCACACUCAUGCUCAUAUGUUUCAAAGUAGUAUACACCUGCAUCACUCUGUGUUUUGUUCCCUCAACAAACUGACAUGCCAUGAAGAAAUGAAAUGCACAUUAAAGUGCAUAUGAACACACUCAUGUCCUUUUACAAGAGAGAAAUAUGCUGUACAGAUAAGACACCUUGUUGCAGCUUACAAUGGUGUUAUAUGAGAUGCAUGCUAGUGAACACCGCAUUGUUUGGGUAGCAAGUACCAUUUGGAAGGAGUUAUUGUAUCAACUCCCCCUGCUGGCUUCAAACACCUCUCAUGUUCUACUGUAGUCUUAAGUUUACUACAUUUCAGAAUUCAUGAAUGGUCAUAUUGAUUCUGAUAUUCUCCCUUUCUUUAAAAAGGUGUUUUCUUAUUAUACCAUUUUGACAGAUUUACACGAGAUAUCUGUUAGGGGGGACAAACUCUACACAUUUGACAUCUUAAUCUGAUCAUUUUACAUUAUUAGCCCUUGUAACAGACUUGUUCACUUAUCCCACUGUCUCUGACCACGACAGCUGAACCAACACAAGGAGCUGCUGCUAGUGUUGGUAUUUGAUGUGACUCACGCCUGUGACUGUCAUCUGAACCAACACAAGGAGCUGCUGCUAGUGUUGGUAUUUGAUGUGACUCACGCCUGUGACUGUCAGCACAACCAACACAAGGAGCUGCUGCUAGUGUUGGUAUUUGAUGUGACUCACACUUGUGAGUGUCAUCUGAACCAACACAAGGAGCUGCUGCUAGUGUUGGUAUUUGAUGUGACUCACGCCUGUGACUGUCAGCACAACCAACACAAGGAGCUGCUGCUAGUGUUGGUAUUUGAUGUGACACACUUGUGAGUGUCAGCUGAACCAACACAAGGAGCUGCUGCUAGUGUUGGUAUUUGAUGUGACUCACACUUGUGAGUGUCAGCUUAACAAACACAAGGAGCUGCUUGUCACUUGAUGUGACUCGCCAUACUUCCUACUACAUGUCUUAUAACAAAAGUUAGGUGGUACACAUGCCAGUGUUAGUGUUGAAGAGAACCUGCCCCAUACUACAGUCAAUACAUUCUAUAGAUUUGAGUUAAACUGCUGUAUUGAAGGGAAAUAUAAAGAUUCACUGUCUUAUAAACUAGUGUUGCUGAUGCUUCCUUGAUUUCAUCAUGUGCUAACCGGGUCCUUGUUCGUUAUCAAUCUUGUCUGAACAGAUCACAAUCAUAUGUCUGGGGACCUUAGUAUUGAACAGCAAUGAACUGCAGUCAGAUUAACAAUUAACCAAACACAGCAGCAAGAGCUAGGCCUAGUUGACACCCCAGGGGGAGAUGUCUGUAGCAGCCAGGGUCUAGAUAUUUGAAGCUCUCUUAGAGCUAAGAUAGUUGUAAGUUAAUGUUAAUGUAUGGCACUUACGACUAUCUUAGCUCUAAGAGAACUUCGAAAAUCUAGGCCCUGAGCUGGGCCUAGUUGAGCCCUGAGCUGGGCCUAGUUGACACCUCAGUGGAACAUGUCUGUAGCUGCAAGAGCUAGGCCUAGAUGACACCCCAGGAGAUAUGUCUGUAGCGGCAAGAGCUAGGCCUAGAUGACACCCCAGGGGGAGAUGUCUGUAGCUGCAAGAGCUAGGCCUAGUUGACAGCCCAGUGGGAGAUGUCUGUAGCUGCAAGAGCUGGGCCUAGUUGACACCCCAGGAGAUGUCUGUAGUGGCAAUAGCUAGGCCUAGUUGACACCCCAGUGGGAGAUGUCUGUAGCGGCAAGAGCUAGGCCUAGUUGACACCCCAGUGGGAAUGUCUGUAGCGGCAAGAGCUGGGCCUAGUUGACACCCCAGUGGGAGAUGUCUGUAGCGGCAAGAGCUAGGCCUAGUUGACACCACAGUGGGAGAUGUCUGUAGCAGCAAGAGCUGGGCCUAGUUGACACCACAGUUGGAGAUGUCUGUAGCGGCAAGAGCUAGGCCUAGUUGACACCCCAGUGGGAGAUGUCUGUAGUGGAAAGAGCUAGGCCUAGUUGACACCACAGUGGGAGAUGUCUGUAGUGGCAAGAGCUGGGCCUAAUUGACACCACAGUGGGAGAUGUCUGUAGUGGCAAGAGCUAGGCCUAGUUGACAUCCCAGUGGGAGAUGUCUGUAGCGGCAAGAGCUGGGCCUAGUUGACACCCCAGUGGGAGAUGUCUGUAGCGGCAAGAGCUAGGCCUAGUUGACACCCCAGUGGGAGAUGUCUGUAGUGGCAAGAGCUGGGCCUAGUUGACACCCCAGUGGGAGAUGUCUGUAGUGGCAAGAGCUGGGCCUAGUUGACACCCCAGUGGGAGAUGUCUGUAGUGGCAAGAGCUAGGCCUAGUUGACACCCCAGUGGGAGAUGUCUGUAGUGGCAAGAGCUGGGCCUAGUUGACACCCCAGUGGGAGAUGUCUGUAGUGGCAAGAGCUGGGCCUAGUUGACACCCUAGUGGGAGAUGUCUGUAGUGGCAAGAGCUGGGCCUAGUUGACAUCCCAGUGGGAGAUGUCUGUAGUGGCAAGAGCUGGGCCUAGUUGACACCCCAGUGGGAGAUGUCUGUAGUGGCAAGAGCUGGGCCUAGUUGACAUCCCAGUGGGAGAUGUCUGUAGUGGCAAGAGCUGGGCCUAGUUGACACCCCAGUGGGAAUGUCUGUAGCGGCAAGAGCUGGGCCUAGUUGACACCCAAGUGGGAGAUGUCUGUAGCGGCAAGAGCUAGGCCAAGUUGACACCACAGUGGGAGAUGUCUGUAGCAGCAAGAGCUGGGCCUAGUUGACACCCCAGUGGGAGAUGUCUGUAGCGGCAAGAGCUAGGCCUAGUUGACACCCCAGUGGGAGAUGUCUGUAGCGGAAAGAGCUAGGCCUAGUUGACACCACAGUGGGAGAUGUCUGUAGUGGCAAGAGCUGGGCCUAGUUGACACCACAGUGGGAAAUGUCUGUAGUGGCAAGAGCUAGGCCUAGUUGAC